GAGCUACCCAGAAAUCUCAAGGAGGAGGGGUGUGUCUGUAUAUAAAUCAGAAAUGGUGUAAAAACGUGACCGUUCGUAGACAAGUGUGUCUGCCUGACAUUGAGCUCCUCUCUGUGUCUUUGAGGCCGUUUUAUCUGCCGAGGGAAUUCCCACAGAUCAACGUCACCGUCGUUUACAUCCAUCCUAAAGCGAAUCCUAAGAAUGCGACUGACACCAUCUCCAACGUCAUCCACUCACUACAAUCUCUCUCCCCUGAGGCUCCUAAUAUUGUUCUUGGGGACUUUAAUCGCUGCGACUUGAAGAAAACACUGAGCAGUUUUUAUCAGUAUGUGAACUGUUCCACACGCUUCAAUAAGACUCUGGAUUUGUGUUACGGUUCCAUAAAAGGUGCGUAUACAUCUGUGGCUGGCCCCGCCCUCGGAUCCUCGGAUCACAACACGGUGCAUCUUCUGCCAGUUUACAAGACUGUGCUGAGAAGAGAGAAAGUGAGGAAACACCGCAUAAAGGUUUGGAGUGACGAUGCCUCUUUAGCCCUGCAGGGCUGCUUUGACUGUACAGACUGGUCGGUGUUUAUAGAAUCAUGCAGAGACAUUAAUGAACUCACUGACGUUGUCUGCAGCUAUAUCUCCUUUUGCAGAGACAUGAUUAUCCCUUCAAAGGAGCUUAAUGAUGAGGGUGAAGAUGGAGUGAACUAUGAAAACAUUGGAGACUCUUCUGCUUCUGUCAGACUCCACUGUGUGUGUGUGUGUGUGUGUGUGUGUGUGUGGCUGGGUCUAAGUCUGAGACUUGCUGAGCUCUGUGGGACAUUGUUAUGAUGGGUGAGGGUUGCUCCUCCCCACCACUCCCUGCUGGUCACUGUCCUUGAGAACUUUUAGGAACUCUUUCUGGGGCCUCCCUCCUCCUUCUGCACAUGGUUGUCAUCUGGACGUGUGGGCUUGGGUCUCAAGUACUCCUGGGGUGCUUUGGAUGGCCCUGCUGAACUGGAUUGUUCCUUGUCUACUUCUGGGUCCAGGGGUGUUGUUGUGGCCUCGGACCCUCAUUAUUAAGUCCGUUUUGUGACACACACACACACACACACACACACACACACACACACACACACACACACACACACACACUUAUAGCAAAAUUGACCAUGUACAUGUGUGUCUUUGUAUUUUCCUGAUGUGCUGUUUGCUUUUUAUAUAUUUUCUUACAAUUUUCUUACAGGUGCAACAGUUGGUGAUCUGCUGAGUUUAACUAUGACUGCUUCGUACUUUUAUUUGUCUCUUUUCUAAGAUUUUCUCUGCUUUUUAUUUUUUGUGUCACUCUCUUUUCCCCUGUCUUCUCUUUACCCCUUCUUACUUUUCAUUGCCUGUCAGCUCUUGUAUUGCUAAAUUACACAUAAACAAAGUGAAUACGAAUGAAAAUAAAUAAAAGAAAAAAAGAAAGAAAAACUAAGAAUGCAAGGCUACAGACAUUUCAUAUUGCUCCUUUGGGCAAAACAAAUGAGUUUGGCUCAACAGAGCAUUCAGAUCAUGUUUCUCCUGUCAGAAAAGAGGUUUCAAAAAAGGAACAAAAAAAAGUUUUGAUUUUAUCUCAUGUUUAGCUAAAACCUUUUUCAUGUGCAGUUUGAUUUGUUUUUAGAUAAAUCUAACUUAAAACAAUAUUUUAUCCUUCAUUUAGUUAUGAUAAACAGGAUCUUUUGUUGUGUAAAUCUGUAGCUGCUGAUGUUUACUGAAGGUAAAACAGUGAGAUCAGAAUCACAGGUUUUUUAUUGCUUCUUAAAUUUUGUCUUUUGAUUGUUUGUCUUUAUACUUUAUUUUUAUCCCUGAGCUCUUCUCUCUCUUUUUGAGAUGUGGAGAGGAGGUGAGUUUUAAAGACAUUUAAAAAUAGUAAAAGAUUUUAUGAUUCAAAUUAUAACUUCAAUGUUACAUUUUACUUUUUCAUGUUUUGGAUGAUAAUAC
Oreochromis aureus is the source of this 1946-nucleotide long non-coding RNA. The record is from Ensembl. NCBI's taxonomy places the organism in Eukaryota, Metazoa, Chordata, Actinopteri, Cichliformes, Cichlidae.